CGAACCUUCCAAGCUAAACAACAAGAGGCCAAACAAUGUUGAAGCCCAAAACUAGAAACAAAUUGAAAGAAAAAUCGUGAAUUCUGCUACCACCGUUGCUACAACACUACAUCUCGAUCAGUCACCAAUUGAAAGAAGCCAGUGGGAUUGCCACGAGUGACACUGAUAACAAACGCAAGCAGAGAGAAGGUGGUGGUGUGGACACCCGAGCCUGUGUGAAGACUGAAAUUCUUCAUACAUUUUGUCGGUAAAUGUCUUGGGUAAUUGCAGAUCGAUUUGAGAUGUGAUAAAUGAAGGACGGAGGCAAGUACGAGGGGUGGAGAAAUAAGUGUAUGACAAGACAAUGUCAGAAUUGUGGAUAAGGAACAUGGGGAUGGGAUAACAAGGGUUAGAAGAAAGAGAAGGUCAAACCUGAAGGCAUAGUCUAGUAAGAUCUACGGCUAUUAGGGUUGAAGAACAAGGUAGAUCGGAAGGGAAACCAUUCACACCACUGUGAGUUUAAAAACUCUCACAAAGAGAGAGAGUCUCUCACACGCAGAGAAGGUAGAUGCCUUUGAUUUUUAAGUAUUUGGUUUCUUUU
RNAcentral lists this small RNA (580 nucleotides) under Malus domestica (apple). Its description in RNAcentral is "sRNA MD15G0325700". The record is from RNAcentral. Lineage: Eukaryota; Viridiplantae; Streptophyta; Magnoliopsida; Rosales; Rosaceae.